CCCAUUCAUUUUAAUAUGUGAAGAUGAAGAGUCCUUCUUAAUGAAGACUCUUAUCUUAAUGUGUUGCCUUUAUUUCUCAACCUGAUCUCCUUUGAUUUGUCACCAAAAUUAAUUGGGAUCCUUCUAUGUAAGGCUCUCUUGCACCAUAAUUCUACACGGUAAAUUUAUUCACCGCAUGAGAAUUUGGAGCGCCAAAGGUUGGCGCCCCUU
Molecule: long non-coding RNA, 210 nt
Filed under: Elaeis guineensis (African oil palm)
Lineage: Eukaryota; Viridiplantae; Streptophyta; Magnoliopsida; Arecales; Arecaceae
Description: long non-coding RNA (EGUI_LNC072863)
Source: RNAcentral